GCCCGGAUGGCGGAAUUGGUAGACGCCCUCGACUUAAGAUCGAGUAUCGUAAGGUGUGUGGGUUCGAGUCCCGCUCCGGGCA
This 82-nucleotide transfer RNA is filed under the name Minisyncoccota bacterium. Its description in RNAcentral is "tRNA-Leu". It matches the Rfam family "tRNA". From Rfam's summary of the family: Transfer RNA (tRNA) molecules are approximately 80 nucleotides in length. Their secondary structure includes four short double-helical elements and three loops (D, anti-codon, and T loops). The record is from RNAcentral. Lineage: Bacteria; Bacillati; Minisyncoccota.